Molecule: long non-coding RNA, 432 nt
Organism: Juglans microcarpa x Juglans regia
Lineage: Eukaryota; Viridiplantae; Streptophyta; Magnoliopsida; Fagales; Juglandaceae
Exons: 3
Source: RefSeq, a predicted model, not a curated record
AAAAUCUUGGUAGCAGCUACUAUUUACUACAUCCAAAUUACAAACAUGACGUAUCUUUCGUUCCUCUCCCUCCAAACGGAUGCAACUACUUUCAUUUUGAAUUUUCAUUUCGUCCAUUUCGUUCCUCUCCCCCCACCUCCCCGCAUUUCUUUCUUCCUCCCUCUCUGUUUCUUUCUUCCUCUUCUCCCUUCCCGUUUCUUUCAUUCUUCUCCCCCCCACCCCCCUGAGCUCCAGAACUCCUCUGCGACGUGAUUUCCCGAGAAGCCCUACACUGCGAUUUCGAGUUCCUCUGCACUAAGAUUUCGAGUUCCUCUCCCGAAACCUCGAGCUCCUCUGCAGUGCGAUUUCGAGUUCACAGUUCGACACACUGAGAUUGAAGCCCUCAAUCCACCGACGCGAAGCCCUUAGAUCUGCGGGAGGGAUAAAGCAUGC